RNAcentral lists this unclassified non-coding RNA (337 nucleotides) under soil metagenome. RNAcentral describes it as "partial contains 5.8S ribosomal RNA, internal transcribed spacer 2, and large subunit ribosomal RNA". The stretch from base 1 to 120 matches the Rfam family "5.8S ribosomal RNA", at positions 35 to 154 of the family's 154-position model. The record is from RNAcentral.
GAUGAAGAACGUAGCGAAAUGCGAUAAGUAAUGUGAAUUGCAGAAUUCCGUGAAUCAUCGAAUUUUUGAACGCAUAUUGCGCCCUCUGGUAUUCCGGAGGGCAUGCCUGUCCGAGCGUCAUUUGUACCUUCAAGCUCUGCUUGGUGUUGGGUGUUUGUCUCGCCUCUGCGUGUAGACUCGCCUCAAAACAAUUGGCAGCCGGCGUAUUGAUUUCGGAGCGCAGUACAUCUCGCGCUUUGCACUCAUAACGACGACGUCCAAAAGUACAUUUUUACACUCUUGACCUCGGAUCAGGUAGGGAUACCCGCUGAACUUAAGCAUAUCAAUAAGCGGAGGA